UAAAAUCACCUAUGCCCAACAGAGUGAAAAGGUGCCCUCUUGCGAGACAGCCACCGAAAAAGCACUGCUAUUGCUUCGUGCUUGCUCUUCUUCCUAAUUCAAAACAAAACGAAACAACCAAAAUUAAUCACCUAGAUAUUUUCAAGGAGAAGUUUCAGCUCCCUGCUGCUACCUAAUAACAAACUGAGCAGUUAAACCUUCAAGAGAGUCCAAUAUGGGAUCAAAUAAAGACAAAAGCUGAAGAGUGGGCUUAUCACAGUUGAGUACUGGUCGGCUCCGAGGAAAACUGCUGCAAGAGAAAAGGUACCAACCUUCCAAACACACAGGAGGCAUUGCUAACCAUUCCUUCCCAGCCAUAGUCACUGCUGCAAAGGAUAGAGUAGGUUUUAUUUUAUUUCAUUUUUCCCCAGCAAGCCUCAGCCUAAGGAAAAGCUAGUCUCUCACAAGAUGCCAGGCAAUUGAAAGAGCCGUUCUGUCAGGGGCUUGAGGCAGGGGGAGUGUAUUUUCUAAGAUUUUCCGAUACUAAAACCCAUUUAGGACUGUUGAGAGAAAUCUCUCCGACGGAGGAUUUAGCUCCUGCUAAUCCUUAAGUGACUUGUUUUGACAGGGUCUUUGUAAAAGAUUUUUCUCAGGAACUUUGCUUUGCUCUCAAGUAGCAAUUACUGAAUUGUCCCCCAGAACCUCUCUCUUCAUCCUUCUCUUCUUGCUGGAUGCCAGCUAAUGAACUUGAUGCAUGCUCCAAGACACCAAGUGAAUCCAAUCACAACUGUUUACUGUAGAAAGUCAAGACUCUCAGGAUUUCUGCGGAUAUUCCGUUUCUCUCUCUCUAGCCUCUGGGUAUCAGGGACCUGGAUUUUAUUCCAUGUGUCAUGCGGCCUCCUCAGCAAAUUCUUUGACUCCCGGCUUGGGGAAGCAGAGCCCUACUUUUCUUUUAUCCUUCACUUUCUCUACAUAAAGCCAUUUCCCCCUGCCUGCGUGUGGAAGGAGCACGGGGACCCCUCAGUUUUUAAAGCCUCCUGGUGUUUGCUUUUUGCUCAGCUUGGCAUUAUAUUUUCAGAGGUGACAAUGUGACAGUGGCAGCCGGUGUGCACGGCUCACCUCCCUGUGAAAGGGACCCCUUGAUGCUAUGACAACAGGGCCUCAUGUAUGUGUGUCUUUCUUUCCCACUGCCCGCUGUGUUAUGAAGAGAUUUUCAAAUUCGACCUCACAUCUUGUCUGCCACGUUUUAAUUAAGUCCCAUACCAGGAGAGGCUUAAAGGUAACUUUCUAAUCCAGUGUUUUUCAGAGUGUGGUUCCAAGAUGGGCAGCCCCAGCAUCGCCUUUUAGAGACAGAUGCUGGGAAUAAGGCAAGGCCUCAGUUGGUAAAGUGUUUAGUUUGAAAGCAUGAAGACCUGAGUUCAAUCCGUACAGCUGAGGUAACUGCUAUAGGUAUGGCAGCAGGCACCUGCAUUCCCAGCUCUGGGGAGGCAGAGAUGGAAGGAUCUUGGGGGAGGGGGGCUCAUUAGACAGCCAGUUCCGCUGGAUCACAAAUCUCCAGGUUCACUGAGAGAUCCUGUCUCACAAACUAAGGUGGAGAUUGAAGAAGACACCUAAUGUCUACCUCUGGCCUUCAUGUGCACACAUACACGCACAUGCACACGCACACGCACACGCACUUGUGAGGAGGAGGGAGAGAGAGGAAGGGGAGAGAAAGAAAGAGAUCUGCUGAUCCCCAGAACCCAACCCAGACCUACAGACUGGAAACUGUAGGAAAGGCCCCUCUCAUACAUCCUGCAAUGUUCUCAGAGCUCCAGGUCUUCAGCUCGCACAAUGGACCACGCUACUUUAUCUACCUUGAGAACGUACCACAAAGCAACCUGCCUCCAAAAUUACCAGACUCUCCUCCCUCAAAACUCCCACAUUUGUGACUCCACACCCCUUUUUGAUUUUGGACUUCAAACACUUUGUCUGCAAAAUUAGGUUUCUGGCUGCGAUUUAUGACUGUAUUCGCUUUGAUUGUUUCUUAAUUUCGGUAAACCCUGUCAAUUACAGGACUGUUAUGUGAGGGUGUGGCGGGAGAGACUGUUGGCUUUUUAUGAAAGUGUACCAAACUCCAGACAAGCAUUAACAUAUUGCAUUUUAAAUGCUUCUGGAGACUAAAAGCUGCCUACUUUAAUCCUCUUGUCAAUGAGGUGCUGAGU
RNAcentral lists this long non-coding RNA (2180 nucleotides) under Mus musculus (house mouse). RNAcentral's name for it is "long non-coding RNA chr9:68976480-68978660". Lineage: Eukaryota; Metazoa; Chordata; Mammalia; Rodentia; Muridae. The record is from RNAcentral.